GACGAACGCUGGCGGCGUGCCUAAUACAUGCAAGUUGAGCGAUGAAGAUUGGUGCUUGCACCAAUUUGAAGAGCAGCGCACGGGUGAGUAACGCGUGGGGAAUCUGCCUUUGAGCGGGGGACAACAUUUGGAAACGAAUGCUAAUACCGCAUAACAACUUUAAACAUAAGUUUUAAGUUUGAAAGAUGCAAUUGCAUCACUCAAAGAUGAUCCCGCGUUGUAUUAGCUAGUUGGUGAGGUAAAGGCUCACCAAGGCGAUGAUACAUAGCCGACCUGAGAGGUUGGUCAGCCAGAUUGGGACGGAGACAGGGCACAAACGCAUACGGGGGGGAGCAGUAGGGAAUCUUCGGCAAUGGACGAAAGUCUGACCGAGCAACGCGGCGUGAGUGAAGAAGGUUUUCGGAUCGUAAAACUCGGUUGGUAGAGAAGAAAGUUGGUGAGAGUGGAAAGAUCAUCAAGUGACGGUAACUACCCAGAAAGGGACGGCUAACUACGUG
Molecule: ribosomal RNA, 497 nt
Filed under: uncultured bacterium
Lineage: Bacteria
Description: partial 16S ribosomal RNA
Rfam family: Bacterial small subunit ribosomal RNA
Source: RNAcentral